This 805-nucleotide ribosomal RNA is filed under the name Escherichia coli. RNAcentral describes it as "partial 23S ribosomal RNA". It matches the Rfam family "Bacterial large subunit ribosomal RNA", at positions 2116 to 2915 of the family's 2925-position model. Lineage: Bacteria; Pseudomonadati; Pseudomonadota; Gammaproteobacteria; Enterobacterales; Enterobacteriaceae. The record is from RNAcentral.
ACUGAACAUUGAGCCUUGAUGUGUAGGAUAGGUGGGAGGCUUUGAAGUGUGGACGCCAGUCUGCAUGGAGUCGACCUUGAAAUACCACCCUUUAAUGUUUGAUGUUCUAACGUGGACCCGUGAUCCGGGUUGCGGACAGUGUCUGGUGGGUAGUUUGACUGGGGCGGUCUCCUCCUAAAGAGUAACGGAGGAGCACGAAGGUUGGCUAAUCCUGGUCGGACAUCAGGAGGUUAGUGCAAUGGCAUAAGCCAGCUUGACUGCGAGCGUGACGGCGCGAGCAGGUGCGAAAGCAGGUCAUAGUGAUCCGGUGGUUCUGAAUGGAAGGGCCAUCGCUCAACGGAUAAAAGGUACUCCGGGGAUAACAGGCUGAUACCGCCCAAGAGUUCAUAUCGACGGCGGUGUUUGGCACCUCGAUGUCGGCUCAUCACAUCCUGGGGCUGAAGUAGGUCCCAAGGGUAUGGCUGUUCGCCAUUUAAAGUGGUACGCGAGCUGGGUUUAGAACGUCGUGAGACAGUUCGGUCCCUAUCUGCCGUGGGCGCUGGAGAACUGAGGGGGGCUGCUCCUAGUACGAGAGGACCGGAGUGGACGCAUCACUGGUGUUCGGGUUGUCAUGCCAAUGGCACUGCCCGGUAGCUAAAUGCGGAAGAGAUAAGUGCUGAAAGCAUCUAAGCACGAAACUUGCCCCGAGAUGAGUUCUCCCUGACCCUUUAAGGGUCCUGAAGGAACGUUGAAGACGACGACGUUGAUAGGCCGGGUGUGUAAGCGCAGCGAUGCGUUGAGCUAACCGGUACUAAUGAACCGUGAG